RNAcentral lists this ribosomal RNA (200 nucleotides) under uncultured prokaryote. RNAcentral describes it as "partial 16S ribosomal RNA". It matches the Rfam family "Bacterial small subunit ribosomal RNA", at positions 1182 to 1382 of the family's 1533-position model. The record is from RNAcentral.
ACGUCAAGUCCGCAUGGCUCUUACGAGGUGGGCCACAAACGUACUACAAUGGUGCUUACAAAGGGCAGCGACACCGCAAGGUGGAGCAAAUCCUUAAAAAGCAUCUCAGUUCAGAUUGUCCUCUGCAACUCGAGGGCAUGAAGUCGGAAUUACUAGUAAUCGCAGAUCAGCAUGCUGCGGUGAAUGCGUUCUCGGGUCUU